AGUAAUGCCUAGGAAUCUGCCUGGUAGUGGGGGACGAACGUUUCGAAAGGAACGCUAAUACCGCAUACGUCCUACGGGAGAAAGCAGGGACCUUCGGGCCUUGCGCUAUCAGAUGAGCCUAGGUCGGAUUAGCUAGUUGGUGAGGUAAUGGCUCACCAAGGCGACGAUCCGUAACUGGUCUGAGAGGAUGAUCAGUUACACUGGAACUGAGACACGGUCCAGACUCCUACGGGAGGCAGCAGGU
This 244-nucleotide ribosomal RNA is filed under the name uncultured Pseudomonas sp. Its description in RNAcentral is "partial 16S ribosomal RNA". It matches the Rfam family "Bacterial small subunit ribosomal RNA", at positions 109 to 354 of the family's 1533-position model. The record is from RNAcentral. Lineage: Bacteria; Pseudomonadati; Pseudomonadota; Gammaproteobacteria; Pseudomonadales; Pseudomonadaceae.